UUCUAUGGCCAUACCACCCUGAGUGCGCCUGAUCUCACCUGAUCUUGGAAGCUAAGCAGGGUCGGUCCUGGUUAGUACUUGGAUGGGAGACUGACUGGGAAUACCGGGUGCUGUAGGCU
Ribosomal RNA from Ictidomys tridecemlineatus (thirteen-lined ground squirrel), 119 nucleotides. The record is from Ensembl. NCBI's taxonomy places the organism in Eukaryota, Metazoa, Chordata, Mammalia, Rodentia, Sciuridae.